Molecule: long non-coding RNA, 3986 nt
Filed under: Marmota monax (woodchuck)
Lineage: Eukaryota; Metazoa; Chordata; Mammalia; Rodentia; Sciuridae
Source: RNAcentral
GUAUCUUCAGAUUUUCUUUGCUCUAAGGGAAAAUCCUAAAUUAUGCCAACAGUGUAAAGUAGACUUAGCUAUGAUAUCUGCCAUGAAGAGAAAAAAUCUUGGACUCACUGAGGAAAAAGAAUCAAGAGAAAAAUUUGGGCCGAUCAAAGUACAUACCCCCUUCCCCCUUCAAGACCUAAGGCAGAUAAAAACUGACUCUACUGGAAAGUUAGGAGAUAUGCCAGAUUGCCUGGGAUUGGAUCUAUCCAAAGGAGCUAAUCCUGUAAGUAAAAGGGAAACUGAGGAUUCCCAGCAGCUGCCAGAGCCAUUUUCGCUUUGGGGAAUUUCCUCAUUCUUCCCUGCACUGUAAGGAUUGCUCCAUCUCUGUCCACUUAAAAAGAAGGGACACUGAAUGCAGUAAAGUCAGUCACACUGAGACCCUUGAUUUUACACCUAUAGUUGCCCCUCUGUGAAAACAUCUGGUCCACUCAUGGGGAAAUCUAUGGUGCCACUGAUAGGAGUCAUAAUUAAAUGGAAGUUAAAAACCUGGAGAGAUUUUUCUCUUAUCUGGUCUCUCUAUUUUAAAGGUUAUUAUAGAUUGUUUCUUGGGGAUGAUCUUGGCUAAAUGUGUGUCUAAAAGAUGAUUUUUUUAUUGUAACAUCUGGUAUCUAAAUGAGUUUGAAGCAUUGCAUAAUCUUGCAGUUAAAAGUUGGGGUUAGGUAAUUGUUUAGUUUGUGAUUUCAGAUAAUUCAUGCUGGAGAACUUAAAUACUUAGGAUAGAAAAUUAAAAGAAUUCUACUUCCAAGUUGGCAAGUAACUCCCAAUCAUUUAGUUUUAUUUUGAACUGGGUAGCCUGAGAAGAUUUCACUAGGUGUACCAGUGCAUUAACUUGGGCAAGGAUAGUAAAUUAUGAUAUGGUAUCUGUUCCCCUCAGUGUGUAAGAUUUAGGAAAAAAAUGUUGAAUUGGAACGUUGGUCUGGCUUAUUGAAAUAACAUUGAAUAGCAACAGUCUUAAAUUUUUAAAGCUUAAUUUUGGAUAUACAUGGUAGUGUGUGGUUCUCUUUUAAGAUUUUUUUUUUCAGGUGAUUUAAUGUAACUUAAUACUACUUUAGAAACUUCAGAACAAAGGAAGUAGCUUAAUGAUCCUGAAGGAAUUUCUUCUGAUGGUGGCUUUUAUAUUAUCAAGAAAGAUCCUAUUUUCAGUUUUGUGUGAACAAGUUUUUUCUAGUGUAGGAAAAUGUAAAGGUAUGAAAUUUUGUAAACUGUAUCUUAAACUUGUAUCAUAAUUUUCAACAUCCAAACCUGAAAAUUGUGACUUAUGGUUAAAAUGCCUUAGGCAUGAGGUUUCUGCUCAGAAUUCCAGUUUUCCCAGUUCCUUCCAGACCUCAGCCAGGACUUAAGCUGAUAUGCAAAUAGAAGAAGCCUGGGGCUCAACAGAGGGCAGAUUUCAGGCCCAAGGAAAAAAAAAAGAGUUAAAGUAUCUUUUUACCUGAACUCAAACUAGACCCCAACCAAAAAGUAAAUUAUAUGGUAUUUACUAAUUACUGGCCAGUCAUCUUUUUUUAGGACUCUUGCUUUUUCUUAGAUUCUGUAUUUUUUUGAGCUCAUGAUUUUGAUCCUACAGACAAGUUAAUGUUUUUCUGAUAAGUUCUAUUUUUGAUCACCUGGAGUUUUUUUUUUUUUAAACAUUGCAAUGAGAUUUCACCUGAGAAAGCUACAAGGCCUUUACUAUUGUGUUGUGUUACACUUGUGUUAUGUGUUGUAUGUCGGUAUGUCUGUAUGUGUGUAUGUCCAUAUAUCAUGCAGUGAUAUGACAAUUGACAGAUGAGGAGCGCUCAUAAAAAAUUAAAAAAUGGAUCCAAAUAUCUUUGAUUCACGUGAUUCAAAUGGUUCAAUUUAAAUUGGGUAAACAGAUGAAAGUAAAGAUGUCUUUAAAAUUAAGCUUAUAAGUUUUUCUAGAUGUUCAAAAAGGCCCUAAUAAAAUGUUAAAUCUGCUUAAAUUCAAAAAUUUACAAGUAUUGUUUCAAAAUGUGAACAGAAGGAGGUUAACAGAUAAAAAAGAGAAACUAGAAGGUUCUAGAUAUGGAUUUAAGAGGAAAAAUGUGUUUCUGGAUAAGAGUCUAUAUGAUUAAGAGGGCUUAAGUAAAUGAUAUAAAAAAGGUCUGUGUAAGUUGCUUAUAAGUGUAAGUUUUUGAGCAAGUAAUCUUAAAGAAAUUAAACAGCUGGUUAAACAAGUGCUGUUGUUUUAGAGAAUUGUGCUGUGUUAUUUCUUUAAAAGCUAAACUUGGUUAAUAUAAAAACAUCAGUGUAAUUGGUGCUAUUAAUGUGUUCAUAUCUUCCAGGUAUACAAGUCUGUAAGGUAGAAGCUUCAAAGUUGUAUGGUAAUUUUAGGCUUAAAAAGAAACAUGUUAGAUUUAUUUAUCAUUUGUGUUCUAUAACUGGACUUGUUAUCAAUAAGAUGUAAAGUUCUAUGUUACUUUUUACACUGAGAUACAAUUUAAAUGAAUUUUUAAGUUAAUGAGAGCCUAAUCUGUGUGAAGGUUUUAUUGCAAAACACAAAAGUACUUUACUACUUUUCUACAAAAGGUUAAAAGCUUUCAGCUUUUCUUUAAUUCAUGUUUUAGGUGUGAUAUUAUAUUGUGUUAGCUAAUAUUCAUGUGAACUUGAGCAACAAUUUAUGUAGGCUUUGUAAAAUGAUGUUUAAAAAGCAAAGAUCAGUUUCAGAACUACAGUACUUAAGAUUUAUGAAGAGCCCUGCCUUACUUGAGAUAAGGCUCUGUCCCAUCUCACUACAUGUGAAAGUGACUAUGAAAGAAGUAGGCCAGAUUUCAGUACAGUUAAAGUUGUGUCCAAAAGUAGUUUUUUGCCAAGAUUACUAGGAUCUCAAACAGGGAAUUAUGAUGUAUAACCCUGCCAGAAUUCAAGGUAGCUAUUAUAUAAGCUAAAUAUGUUUUUACCCUAGUUAGUUUUGUGCUGUAGUUUGCUUAUAGAUGGUUUAAGGAUUGCCUGUUAAUGUUUUAAAGAGGUACUGCUUUAAGAACACAACCUGGGUCAACAUAAGAUAAGGAGUUAUCACCUACUGGAUAGAGAGAUAGACAUUAAAGCCCAGUGCUCUUUAAUAUAAGGCUGUUAACUUAUUUGCUGGAUGUUUAAGAUUAAGUUUUAAAAUUAAAGUUAAAUUAAAAGGGCCAAGAAAACCAAUAUUUGGCUCUUGCCCUCUAAGUCAGUCUGAAUCAGGGAAUAGGGGACUUCUCCAAAGGGCUCUGCAACUCUAGGCCACAUAACCUCCUGAGUAGGGAGAUUAAUGAGACCAGUGUAGGACAGAAAGCCAAUCAGUGCAUUUGCUGUGAAGAGGAGGGUCAUCAGAAAAGGGAGACAUCCCUGAUGCUUCCAAGGGAAGCCACAUGGUCAAGCAAGGCCUGGACCCAUCCUAGCGCAAUGGCACUAGCAGAACUGAGAAGNGGACUUGUUAUCAAUAAGAUAUGUAAAGUUCUAUGUUACUUUUUACACUGAGAUACAAUUUAAAUGUAUUUUUAAGUUAAUGAGAGCCUAAUCUGUGUGAAGGUUUUAUUGCAAAACACAAAAGUACUUUACUACUUUUCUACAAAAGGUUAAAAGCUUUCAGCUUUUCUUUAAUUCAUGUUUUAGGUGUGAUAUUAUAUUGUGUUAGCUAAUAUUCAUGUGAACUUGAGCAACAAUUUAUGUAGGCUUUGUAAAAUGAUGUUUAAAAAGCAAAGAUCAGUUUCAGAACUACAGUACUUAAGAUUUAUGAAGAGCCCUGCCUUACUUGAGAUAAGGCUCUGUCCCAUCUCACUACAUGUGAAAGUGACUAUGAAAGAAGUAGGCCAGAUUUCAGUACAGUUAAAGUUGUGUCCAAAAGUAGUUUUUUGCCAAGAUUACUAGGAUCUCAAACAGGGAAUUAUGAUGUAUAACCCUGCCAGAAUUCAAGGUAGCUAUUAUAUAAGCUAAAUAUGUUUUUACCCUAGUUAGUUUUGUGCUGUAGUUUG